RNAcentral lists this long non-coding RNA (251 nucleotides) under Brassica napus (rape). RNAcentral describes it as "long non-coding RNA (BNAP_LNC023653)". The record is from RNAcentral. Lineage: Eukaryota; Viridiplantae; Streptophyta; Magnoliopsida; Brassicales; Brassicaceae.
AGGGUUUGAAACGUAAAAAAAAUUCGGUUUUUUUGUUUAUUCACAAGGGGCUGGUUGUAAUUUCAAUAGCCUUUUAGGUUACUUUUGAUUUUGAUUCAAGUUUGGGUUUACCUUUGUGUUUGAAAUCAAGUUGUGAGUCAUAUUUGGCAAUUUUCCCUAGUAGAAAAGUAACAAUGCAUAUAUCAAACUUGGUAAUAUUUCUUUUCAUAAUUGUUGCCCGCUCUCCCAAUUCUUAAUUACCCGAUGGUUAA